RNAcentral lists this transfer RNA (85 nucleotides) under Laurenciella marilzae. RNAcentral's name for it is "tRNA-Leu". It matches the Rfam family "tRNA". From Rfam's summary of the family: Transfer RNA (tRNA) molecules are approximately 80 nucleotides in length. Their secondary structure includes four short double-helical elements and three loops (D, anti-codon, and T loops). The record is from RNAcentral. Lineage: Eukaryota; Rhodophyta; Florideophyceae; Ceramiales; Rhodomelaceae.
UGCGGAUGUGGUGGAAUUGGCAGACACGCUAGAUUUAGGUUCUAGUGAGUAUACCUCGUGAGAGUUCAAGUCUCUCCAUCCGCAU